UCGGGGUGCUUGCACUCUGUGAAACAAGAUACAGGCUAGCGGCGGACGGGUGAGUAACACGUGGGUAACCUGCCCAAGAGAUCGGGAUAACACCUGGAAACAGAUGCUAAUACCGGAUAACAACAGAUGAUGCCUAUCAACUGUUUAAAAGAUGGUUCUGCUAUCACUCUUGGAUGGACCUGCGGUGCAUUAGCUAGUUGGUAGGGUAACGGCCUACCAAGGCGAUGAUGCAUAGCCGAGUUGAGAGACUGAUCGGCCACAUUGGGACUGAGACACGGCCCAAACUCCUACGGGAGGCAGCAGUAGGGAAUCUUCCACAAUGGACGCAAGUCUGAUGGAGCAACGCCGCGUGAGUGAAGAAGGGCUUCGGCUCGUAAAGCUCUGUUGUUGGUGAAGAAGGACAGGGGUAGUAACUGACCUUUGUUUGACGGUAAUCAAUUAGAAAGUCACGGCUAACUACGUGCCAGCAGCCGCGGUAAUACGUAGGUGGCAAGCGUUGUCCGGAUUUAUUGGGCGUAAAGCGAGUGCAGGCGGCUCGAUAAGUCUGAUGUGAAAGCCUUCGGCUCAACCGGAGAAUUGCAUCAGAAACUGUCGAGCUUGAGUACAGAAGAGGAGAGUGGAACUCCAUGUGUAGCGGUGAAAUGCGUAGAUAUAUGGAAGAACACCGGUGGCGAAGGCGGCUCUCUGGUCUGUUACUGACGCUGAGGCUCGAAAGCAUGGGUAGCGAACAGGAUUAGAUACCCUGGUAGUCCAUGCCGUANACGAUGAGUGCUAAGUGUUGGGAGGUUUCCGCCUCUCAGUGCUGCAGCUAACGCAUUAAGCACUCCGCCUGGG
This 834-nucleotide ribosomal RNA is filed under the name uncultured bacterium. RNAcentral's name for it is "bacterial SSU rRNA". It matches the Rfam family "Bacterial small subunit ribosomal RNA", at positions 71 to 877 of the family's 1533-position model. The record is from RNAcentral.